UUGAAUUAUAUUUUUCUUGUCAUAUAAUAGAUUUGUCGGGAAACCGACUAUGACACCAGAGGCUGUAUGAAAUAGGUUUUCAAGACCCGGGGGCAGUACCCGGCACCUCCACCAUUUUUGCCGAUGUGUAUGAAAAGUGUAUUAUGUUGGUGAUGCUUCUCUGAUGAUGCUUUGGACACGAAAUGCGGAUAAAGCACCUGCUGCGCAGAUAAUGAACGAACGACGCGUACAUUUGAAAAUGUGGAGAAGUUGUUUGCUACGCAGGCGAUGAUGCUUUGGACACAAAAUGCGGAUAAAGCACCUGCUGCGUAGAUGAUGAACGAACGACGCGUACAUUAUUGGUACGCGAGAGAGUUUAUCAGCAAGCAUGAGAUGCUUUAUACACAUUUUGAGGGGGUGAAACAGGCUUGAUUGGGAACAAUAAAGAUACUUUGCUGUGUUCGGUGAGAUACCACCGUUAUCGGUUCAAAAUAAAUGAAUGCAAAUGAUAAUUUUGCACCUGUUGCAGUAGCUGCUUAGUGUAGUUCGCAACGAAUGAAAUUCUUAAGGCUUUGGUUGCCUUGAGUGGGGAAGGAGCCGCCCAGCAACAGAACGGC
This 596-nucleotide transfer-messenger RNA is filed under the name pig gut metagenome. RNAcentral's name for it is "Alphaproteobacteria transfer-messenger RNA". It matches the Rfam family "Alphaproteobacteria transfer-messenger RNA". From Rfam's summary of the family: Bacterial tmRNA, also known as 10Sa RNA or SsrA, is named for its dual tRNA and mRNA-like properties. The record is from RNAcentral.